Molecule: ribosomal RNA, 164 nt
Filed under: Senecio stigophlebius
Lineage: Eukaryota; Viridiplantae; Streptophyta; Magnoliopsida; Asterales; Asteraceae
Description: 5.8S ribosomal RNA
Rfam family: 5.8S ribosomal RNA
About the family: 5.8S ribosomal RNA (5.8S rRNA) is a component of the large subunit of the eukaryotic ribosome. It is transcribed by RNA polymerase I as part of the 45S precursor that also contains 18S and 28S rRNA.
Source: RNAcentral
AAAACGACUCUCGGCAACGGAUAUCUCGGCUCACGCAUCGAUGAAGAACGUAGCAAAAUGCGAUACUUGGUGUGAAUUGCAGAAUCCCGUGAACCAUCGAGUUUUUGAACGCAAGUUGCGCCCGAAGCCUUUUGGCUGAGGGCACGUCUGCCUGGGCGUCGCAC